GUGGGGAAUUUUGGACAAUGGGCGAAAGCCUGAUCCAGCCAUGCCGCGUGCAGGAUGAAGGCCUUCGGGUUGUAAACUGCUUUUGUACGGAACGAAAAGACUCCUUCUAAUAAAGGGGGUCCAUGACGGUACCGUAAGAAUAAGCACCGGCUAACUACGUGCCAGCAGCCGCGGUAAUACGUAGGGUGCAAGCGUUAAUCGGAAUUACUGGGCGUAAAGCGUGCGCAGGCGGUUAUAUAAGACAGAUGUGAAAUCCCCGGGCUCAACCUGGGAACUGCAUUUGUGACUGUAUAGCUAGAGUACGGUAGAGGGGGAUGGAAUUCCGCGUGUAGCAGUGAAAUGCGUAGAUAUGCGGAGGAACACCGAUGGCGAAGGCAAUCCCCUGGGCCUGCACUGACGCUCAUGCACGAAAGCGUGGGGAGCAAACAGGAUUAGAAACCCCUGUAGUCC
RNAcentral lists this ribosomal RNA (450 nucleotides) under uncultured bacterium. RNAcentral describes it as "bacterial SSU rRNA". It matches the Rfam family "Bacterial small subunit ribosomal RNA", at positions 354 to 796 of the family's 1533-position model. The record is from RNAcentral.